GACGAGGUGGCCGAGCGGUUAAGGCGAUGGACUGCUAAUCCAUUGGGGUUUCCCC
This is a non-coding RNA of Trichuris suis (pig whipworm), 55 nucleotides long. NCBI's taxonomy places the organism in Eukaryota, Metazoa, Nematoda, Enoplea, Trichinellida, Trichuridae. The record is from Rfam.